Molecule: non-coding RNA, 300 nt
Organism: Vicia faba (fava bean)
Lineage: Eukaryota; Viridiplantae; Streptophyta; Magnoliopsida; Fabales; Fabaceae
Source: the annotation of a GenBank genome assembly
AUGAGAUGUAUUUUUGCUACAGUUUCUCACAGACACCACAGAUUCUUCUGCUUCGCAUACCCGUUAUCCGUGAAACAGAGGAAAACCACCACGCACCGCCACCCAAACUCCCUUCUCCGACCUCCCGCCGCCCGUGCAUUUCUCGGCCCCAUUCUUUUAAGAGCGCUGCUCUCCGUGAAAGCUCCUCGUUUAGCACUGCCUUUGCUUCAACGAUUAAUUGCAACCUUUUGCUUCCGAUCUUCGAGGAAGAAGAAGGAGAAGAUAGACCGUGAAAGGAGAGAAAAGGGUAUUCACGAUUAG